This 226-nucleotide long non-coding RNA is filed under the name Monodelphis domestica (gray short-tailed opossum). RNAcentral describes it as "lncRNA (ENSMODG00000033514.2)". Lineage: Eukaryota; Metazoa; Chordata; Mammalia; Didelphimorphia; Didelphidae. The record is from RNAcentral.
AGUUAUGGCACUGCAGGGUGGGAACCAGAAUGGAGGAAGGGGGUGGAGUUAAAGCACUCUAGGGUACCUUGCUCUAAAGAUCUUGUUUGCAACCAGAGUGAGGGAAAAGAGAGGAGAGGAGAAGAAAAAGGAAAGGAAAAGUGCCAAUACCAGCUCCUCAGGCAUCCCUGCCCUGGAACAGUGCUUUAAGACUAUGAUCCACUCACAAUUGGAUAUUUCUCCAUAA